This 647-nucleotide ribosomal RNA is filed under the name uncultured bacterium. Its description in RNAcentral is "bacterial SSU rRNA". It matches the Rfam family "Bacterial small subunit ribosomal RNA", at positions 71 to 692 of the family's 1533-position model. The record is from RNAcentral.
CCGGGGAGCUUGCUCCACGGAGCCGAGUGGCGGACGGGUGAGUAACACGUGACUAACCUGUCCCAGGGUGAGGGACAACCUGGGGAAACCCGGGCUAAUACCACAUGACGUCUCAUUGUCACAUGACGGCGAGAUCAAAGAGGGCCUCUGCUUGCAAGCUCUCGCCCAGGGAGGGGGUCGCGGCGUAUCAGCUAGUUGGCGGGGUAACGGCCCACCAAGGCGACGACGCGUAGCGGGUCUGAGAGGACGGCCCGUCACAUUGGGACUGAGAUACGGCCCAGACUCCUACGGGAGGCAGCAGUGGGGAAUAUUGCGCAAUGGGCGAAAGCCUGACGCAGCGACGCCGCGUGUGGGAGGAAGCUCUUCGGGGUGUAAACCACUGUCAGAGGGGAAGAACGGCGUCGAUCCGAAUAGGCUCGGCGAUUGACGGUACCCUCAAAGGAAGCGCCGGCUAACUCCGUGCCAGCAGCCGCGGUAAGACGGAGGGCGCAAGCGUUGUUCGGAAUUACUGGGCGUAAAGCGCGGGCAGGCGGUUUGCUAAGUCGUUUGUGAAAAUCCGGGGCUCAACCCCGGAAAUGCGUACGAUACUGGCAGACUGGAGACCGGUAGAGGCUAGCGGAAUUCCUGGUGUAGCGGUGGAAUGCGUA